GAUGAACGCUGGCGGCGUGCCUAAUACAUGCAAGUCGGACGGAGUGUUAGCAAUAGCACUUAGUGGCGAACGGGUGAGUAACGCGUUGGUGACCUGCCCCGAAGCGGGGGAUAACAGCUCGAAAGGGCUGCUAAUACCCCAUGAAGUCUUUCUGGUUAGAGGCGGGAAGACGAAAGGAGAAAUCCGCUACGGGAGGGGCCUGCGUCCCAUCAGCUAGUUGGUAAGGUAAAAGCCUACCAAGGCGAAGACGGGUAGGGGGCCUGAGAGGGUGAUCCCCCACACUGGCACUGAAACACGGGCCAGACACCUACGGGUGGCAGCAGUAGGGAAUAUUGCACAAUGGGCGAAAGCCUGAUGCAGCAACGCCGCGUGCGCGAAGAAGGCCUUCGGGUCGUAAAGCGCUUUUCGGGGAGAUGAGGAAGGACAGUAUCCCCGGAAUAAGGCUCGGCUAACUACGUGCCAGCAGCCGCGGUAACACGUAGGAGCCAAGCGUUAUCCGAAUUCACCGGGCGUAAAGCGCGUGCAGGCGGCUCGGUAAGUUGGAUGUGAAAGCUCCUGGCUCAACUGGGAGAGGACGUUCAAUACUGUCGGGCUAGAGGAUGGCAGAGGGAGGUGGAAUUCCCGGUGUAGUGGUGAAAUGCGUAGAUAUCGGGAGGAACACCAGUGGCGAAGGCGGCCUUCUGGGCCAUACCUGACGCUCAGACGCGAAAGCUAGGGGAGCGAACGGGAUUAGAAACCCCGGUAGUCCUAGCCGUAAACGAUGUAGACUUGGUGUAGGUGGUGUAAAAGCCAUCUGUGCCGAAGCCAACGCGAUAAGUCUACCGCCUGGGGACUACGGCCGCAAGGUUAAACUCAAAG
This 858-nucleotide ribosomal RNA is filed under the name uncultured bacterium. RNAcentral describes it as "bacterial SSU rRNA". It matches the Rfam family "Bacterial small subunit ribosomal RNA", at positions 28 to 906 of the family's 1533-position model. The record is from RNAcentral.